AGCUUUAUAGUCAAAAAAUGACAUUAAAUUGCAAAUUUAAAGUUAAUAUAGAUGUUAUUUAAGGCUU
RNAcentral lists this transfer RNA (67 nucleotides) under Canthon aequinoctialis. Its description in RNAcentral is "tRNA-Cys". Lineage: Eukaryota; Metazoa; Arthropoda; Insecta; Coleoptera; Scarabaeidae. The record is from RNAcentral.